GAUGAAGAACGUAGCGAAAUGCGAUAAGUAAUGUGAAUUGCAGGAUUCAGUGAAUCAUCGAAUCUUUGAACGCACAUUGCGCCCCCUGGUAUUCCGGGGGGCAUGCCUGUUCGAGCGUCAUUUCACCACUCAAGCCUCGCUUGGUAUUGGGCAACGCGGUCCGCCGCGUGCCUCAAAUCGACCGGCUGGGUCUUCUGUCCCCUAAGCGUUGUGGAAACUAUUCGCUAAAGGGUGCUCGGGAGGCUACGCCGUAAAACAAACCCAUUUCUAAGGUUGACCUCGGAUCAGGUAGGGAUACCCGCUGAACUUAAGCAUAUCAAUAAGCGGAGGA
This 331-nucleotide unclassified non-coding RNA is filed under the name soil metagenome. RNAcentral describes it as "partial contains 5.8S ribosomal RNA, internal transcribed spacer 2, and large subunit ribosomal RNA". The stretch from base 1 to 120 matches the Rfam family "5.8S ribosomal RNA", at positions 35 to 154 of the family's 154-position model. The record is from RNAcentral.